GGGGGUGUAGCUCAGUGGUAGAGUGCUUGCCUGGCAUGCAUGAGGCUCUGGGUUCCAUCCCCAGCACCACAG
Molecule: transfer RNA, 72 nt
Filed under: Marmota marmota marmota (Alpine marmot)
Lineage: Eukaryota; Metazoa; Chordata; Mammalia; Rodentia; Sciuridae
Also listed under: 1 other name
Rfam family: tRNA
About the family: Transfer RNA (tRNA) molecules are approximately 80 nucleotides in length. Their secondary structure includes four short double-helical elements and three loops (D, anti-codon, and T loops).
Source: Rfam by way of RNAcentral